Molecule: microRNA, 21 nt
Filed under: Medicago truncatula (barrel medic)
Lineage: Eukaryota; Viridiplantae; Streptophyta; Magnoliopsida; Fabales; Fabaceae
Description: mtr-miR5241a
Source: miRBase by way of RNAcentral
UGACUGAAUGGAAGAGUGCAU